Ursus thibetanus thibetanus is the source of this 3463-nucleotide long non-coding RNA. Lineage: Eukaryota; Metazoa; Chordata; Mammalia; Carnivora; Ursidae. The record is from Ensembl.
AUGCAUGGUUCUGCUUCCACGAGCUCUGAUGUCUGCUUCUCCCUCCGGGGUUAUUUGCCGCAGGAGCAGGGAGACUCUAGGGACUGUCCUGCUACCCAGGCAGUGUUUGCUUCCCAAGGCAUUUAUCCCACAGGUUACCAAAAAAGAAUGGUGUGUCUUCACAGAGGAUCCUACACUUCGAUACCACUAGAAGAGGAAGAGACGUGCCUCUCCCCCAGUGACCAUGCUGUUUCUCGUCUAUGCAGUGUUGGCGCCCCCUUCCAGCACAGGACCGAAAAUGGCAGCCCAGGAGAAGGGAGCAAACCCUGCAUUUUUGAAUAAUGGGCAGAGUAACACAAGCAUGGGAGAAGCAGACGGGGCUGACAGAUUGCAGUGGCUGUGCCUAUGGAAGAUCUUCAAACGUUCCCCGCAGGUGUCCUAGACCUGACUAUUUGUCCCGGGCUUACAUCUGCAGCUCUCCUGUCAAGCAUUGAAGCUCUUACAUAAAUGUUGAAUAAAUAUAAUUUUGGUUGAAGUUAAGCAUGGUUAGUUUCUGUGGAUUGCACUGAAGAACUGUAACUAUGUUUGACAUAAGGUCCUGGAUUUACAAACAGGUGUGUGGUGCUACACUUGUCAUCAAUGACUAAACAACCUUAGUUGAAGAGAAAGAGAACAUGAGUGAGAGUACAAGCAGGAGGCAGAAAAUGAGCACAUGUGGGGUGGAAACAUAAGGUGAGAAUCCGAGUGAAGUUGGUAGUCAGGAGGCUGGGAUAGGGAAUCCUCCUCUUCACCAUCUUCACUCCUUGGCUUUGUUAAAUUCAUUGAUGGACAGCAUUGACUGUCAUGUGUCCACAGAGGCUGGAUCAUGGAGACAGAAGAAGAGAAAGUAUGGCUGUCAUGUUCAGAGGAUGUCCUGUCUAGUUGGGGAGGUGUGUGUCAUACACUAAAAAUGAGAAAGUCAUACCAAAGAGGACAUGGCUCAGUGUUAGACUUGGUGACGAUAACUUCAAGCCCUAUAGGUCUUCCAAGAAGAGAGAAGGGACAGUGGUAAGAUCAGAUAUUAGAGGGAACCUGGGGCAUCAUGAAUUCAGAACAACCUUUAAAUGUUGCCAAUUCAAUGAAAAUAAUCAGUUUGUUUCUUGGCAUUAUAUAGACCAAAAAUUAAAUCCUCUGACUCACAUCUUAAAAAUCUUAUUGCAUUUGGUAUUAUGGAUAUUUGUAGCCUGCCUGAAUUAGACUUAAUUAAAAAGAAUAAAUUGCCUAGUUAUCUGUUCAAAAUACACACACACACAAACACAUGCACACACACAUACACACACACCCCAAUAAUAGAAUUUACAUUUAAUUUUAUCCUCUAGUGAGAGAAUACAUGAACAGAAAGAGUAGAUUUCUUAAAAUUUUAAUUCUUAGAAGUAAUAUCUCCUAUGAAGAUGUAUUUCAAAAGUAGCUGACUCUUAUAUAGACGUUGCAAUGUACCAGCACUGUACUUUACACAUAAAUUAACUGAACUUUACAUAUAUACUAUACUUUACAUAUAUAUUAACUCAUUCAAUGUAUGCCGGUGAAUGUUAAACAGCGUUCCCCCUGGGUAGGGAGAAAGUGGAACACUGAUUUGUAGAGUCUGUCCUUUUCUGUGGUGUAAACCCCUGCGCUCACCUGGAUUUUAAGCUACCCUUGUGUUGUCGCAGGAGGCAGAAUUAGAAAGAUGAGCAGUCUUGGCUCUCGGGAGUCCCACAAAUCAGCAGGAGCACACCACGUGUUCUGACAUCUCAUGUGUGGGAGCCGUUCCGUUAGGGUCAUGUCCUCAUGAUUGAUAGGAGGUUCUGAAAAGGGAUUGAAGGGCUCAACUUGUCCAAUAUUCACAAUUAACAAUGUGAAAAAUGAGGCCCCCAGGUAGGUUAUUGAUAAACCCAGGGUCACACUAGCGAUUAAGAGCUGACCGUGGGACCUGGAGAGGCAACAGGCUGAAUUCAAAGCUAAAGGGUCAAGUUUCCAUUCAAAGGGCAGUCUAGCCCUGAAGGUGGUUCUGUUUUCUUAGUUGGGAGAGAUGUCCCAAUUUCAAGUCUCCUUUUCGUGUUUAUACACCAUUUCUGGUUGUUUCCUUCCCUGGAGAGUGCCUGGAUAAUCUUGUUGUUGCCUUCUAGUUUGUUUCUUGUACAAUAUAUAAAAAGACAAUUGAAUUAGCAGCAACCUGACCACUUAUUCCAUGCCUAUGUGACUACCUUUGGGAUGGCCUUUAGUCCCAAAUUAGCUUCCCCACAUUCUGUCACCAGGCCUGACACUUCACCACUUAUUCCUCUAGAUCUUAAAGAUUUUUCUGGCUUUCUAAGUCCAAUAACCUCCAAAGCUCCCGGAAGAAUUAUUUUGCCAUGUAUAUCAGGGAAUGUCCACUGACAGAAGCUGAGAAAAAGCUAUAGAAAUCAAAUAUGUCAGAAAUUCUUUAAAGUUCAUUAUCAAAAGCGGAAUUAAGAAAGCCCUAUAAACCAAGUUCAUAUAUUUAACACUUUUGCUUAUGUUUGGAGUUAGUAUCACAAAACUUUUCCAUAUAACAAGAUUUUAGUUGUGAAGUCUAUUGAAAUCUAAAAUAAAACUCUUAGGUAACUUUCAUGAACUAUAAGAAACGAUUUUUUCUUCUUUUUUGUCUCCCUUUUCAAAAUAAUGACUCGUUUAAGAAAUACCUUCUGUGUUGCUUUGUUUCUCAAAUGAUUUUUUCCUUUUCAUUAUUUUUUUCAGGAUGCUCAGUAAAGCAAUUGUUUUGUAAGGGCCUUGUUACCAAUGUAGAAUUGUGCUGUUUUGGAAACUGGUUUAAUUUUGGAUAUUCAUGGUGGGGGGGUUCAUUAUGCUUUUGAAAUAUUAGAGUGAACUGGCUGGUCAUCAGCGCUGUGAAAGGCAAUCCGCUCAGCUGCCUGCUUAGCCAGAUUGCUUCCUUUGGCAGACAACAUAGAGAGGAUAUUUGCUUUACCCAUGAAAUACAUAUUUAGCAUAGACAGUAAGCAUAACUUUACAUCCCUGAGUAGAGGAAAAAUGAUCUAUUUACUUUGAGACUCUCAAACCAAUGACCUUACAGAUCUCGAUAAAAAGUACAAAACAAAACAAACAAAACAAAAAACCCCACAGGAUUUGAUGGACGUCAUGGUAACCAGGAUCAUAGACUAUCAGCUGAAUAAUCUCCUAGCACACCCCUCCCCCCCACUCACAGAGUCAAUCCUCCUCUGCUUCCCGCACACCCUAUCCUACGGCUGCAGGAAAGAUGCCUCAGAUAGCCACCUUAAAUCAAAACCAAGAUAGUGCCCUUCUCCCAUUUCGGGAGAAUGAUUUCAUAACCCUUCACCAGCACCCUCCCUCCCAUGGUGGACAAGCCACUGUGCUCUCCACUUGCAGACACCCACCCCAAGCCCUGGUUCUUCUUGGCAUUGAUUUCUUGAUGGUUUGCUUUGCUCUUUUUCCAGAAAAGAAUUUAAAAAAUCAACAAAAGUGAAGAGAU